CUUGCCUAGGGGCGCAGCAGUCGGGAAUAUUGCGCAAUGGAGGAAACUCUGACGCAGUGACGCCGCGUAUAGGAAGAAGGUUUUCGGAUUGUAAACUAUUGUCGUUAGGGAAGAUAAAAGACUGUACCUAAGGAGGAAGCCCCGGCUAACUAUGUGCCAGCAGCCGCGGUAAUACAUAGGGGGCAAGCGUUAUCCGGAAUUAUUGGGUGUAAAGGGUGCGUAGACGGAAGAACAAGUUGGUUGUGAAAUCCCUCGGCUCAACUGAGGAACUGCACCCAAAACUAUUCUCCUUGAGAGUCGGAGAG
RNAcentral lists this ribosomal RNA (305 nucleotides) under uncultured bacterium. RNAcentral's name for it is "bacterial SSU rRNA". It matches the Rfam family "Bacterial small subunit ribosomal RNA", at positions 334 to 656 of the family's 1533-position model. The record is from RNAcentral.